UCCCUGCUGGCUCAGACGGUAAAGCAUCUGCCUACAGUACAGGAGACCUGGGUUCAAUCCCUGGGUUAGGAA
RNAcentral lists this transfer RNA (72 nucleotides) under Ovis aries (sheep). It matches the Rfam family "tRNA". Rfam says of the family: Transfer RNA (tRNA) molecules are approximately 80 nucleotides in length. Their secondary structure includes four short double-helical elements and three loops (D, anti-codon, and T loops). Lineage: Eukaryota; Metazoa; Chordata; Mammalia; Artiodactyla; Bovidae. The record is from Rfam by way of RNAcentral.